Molecule: ribosomal RNA, 914 nt
Filed under: uncultured marine archaeon
Lineage: Archaea
Description: bacterial SSU rRNA
Rfam family: Archaeal small subunit ribosomal RNA
Source: RNAcentral
UUCCGGUUGAUCCUGCCGGACCUGACUGCUAUCGGAUUGAUACUAAGCCAUGCUAGUCUUUGUAGUAAUACAAGGCAUACGGCUCAGUAACGCGUAGUCAACCUACCCUAUGGACAAGAAUAAUCUCGGGAAACUGAGCAUAAUUCUUGAUAGAUCAUAAUGCCUGGAAUGGUUUAUGGUUAAAAUGAUUCGUCGCCAUAGGAUGGGACUGCGGCCUAUCAGCUUGUUGGUGAGGUAAUGGCCCACCAAGGCGAUUACAGGUACGGGCUCUGAGAGGAGAAGCCCGGAGAUGGGUACUGAGACAAGGACCCAGGCCCUAUGGGGCGCAGCAGGCGAGAAAACUUUGCAAUGUGCGAAAGCACGACAAGGUUAGUCCGAGUGAUUUCUGCUAAAGAGAUCUUUUGCUAGUUAUAAAACCACUAGUGAAUAAGGGGUGGGCAAGUUCUGGUGUCAGCCGCCGCGGUAAAACCAGCACCUCAAGUGGUCAGGAUGAUUAUUGGGCCUAAAGCAUCCGUAGCCGGCUCUGUAAGUUUUCGGUUAAAUCCAUACGCUCAACGUAUGGGCUGCCGAAAAUACUGCAGAGAUAGGGAGUGGGAGAGGUAGACGGUACUCGGUAGGAAGGGGUAAAAUCCUUUGAUCUAUCGAUGACCACCUGUGGCGAAGGCGGUCUACCAGAACACGUUCGACGGUGAGGGAUGAAAGCUGGGGGAGCAAACCGGAUUAGAUACCCGGGUAGUCCCAGCUGUAAACGAUGCAGACUCGAUGAUGCAUUGGCAUAUAGCCAGUGCAGUGUCGCAGGGAAGCCGUUAAGUCUGCCGCCUGGGAAGUACGUACGCAAGUAUGAAACUUAAAGGAAUUGGCGGGGGAGCACCACAAGGGGUGAAGCCUGCGGUUCAAUUGGAUUCAACGCCGGG